CGCUGGCGGCACGCCUAACACAUGCAAGUCGAACGCAGUAGCAAUACUGAGUGGCAAACGGGUGAGUAUAAUGUGGGAAUCUGCCUUUUGGUUUGGAAUAACACGGGGAAACUUGUGCUAAUACCGGAUAAGCCYUUACGGGGAAAGUUUUAACGCCRAAAGAUGAGCCYGCACUUGAUUAGCUAGUUGGUAAGGUAAUWGCUUACCAAGGCUACGAUCAAUAGCUGAUCUUAGAGGAWGACCRCCCCCAUUGGGAC
Molecule: ribosomal RNA, 257 nt
Filed under: uncultured Alphaproteobacteria bacterium
Lineage: Bacteria; Pseudomonadati; Pseudomonadota; Alphaproteobacteria
Description: partial 16S ribosomal RNA
Rfam family: Bacterial small subunit ribosomal RNA
Source: RNAcentral